AGAUUUGGAGGUCACUCAGAUUUCAGAGGUUGUUAUACUGUAAAAUGCAGUGCAUUUCUUAUUGUUCAGAAAUUCUAGUGAUUCACUUUAACAUAGUCUACUGUGGAGAUUAUAACAUGUAUUUACUAUUGUUAUUCAAGAUCUUACAUUUCUGGUGCAUCAAUUGUUUAUUAGAUGGAAAGGUGAAGAUAACGGACAAUUCACGGCGGUUGUGACCUGUCAACAGAAAAUUAUUACUCCUCUUAGGCACCUGAUCCCAUUCCUCUUAUGUCCAGGGGUCCGUGUUUGCUCAACUACUUUUUUGUGUUUCUUAAAAGGGUUAUGAUAUUGAUCACUGUUCUUUGUUUUCGCCUUCUAAAUUCUGUAUCAUAAGAAUAUAAAAACAGGUCAGCUAUUAAAGGAGCACAAUUCGUGCCCAAUGGAAUUCCGACAGAAAUAAAAGGAAAUCUAAAAAUAUAGCUGUAACUGCAAGCAUACGAUAUAAAAGAAUGCUCAAAAGUAUUGCGGGAAAAUCCAGUGAGGGAUACAUAUUAUGAGGGUAUGAUUUGUGACGCUUCACGCCAGUGUACUUCACGUUAGCUCUAUAUGAAAAGUAUGCUGGUGUGAAGCAUUAGAGCCCAUACUCUUCUGUAUUGUCAAACAUGUUUAUGUCUUCUAUUAACAUUCUACUUUCAUUUUUGUCGGAAUUCACAAGCGUUGGAAUAGACACAUUAUUUCUAUCAGGAUGCAUACGCACAAGUUUGUAGCUACAGCGCAAUCAUGAUCAAGGAUAUGGCCAUUACAAUUGUAAAGAUAUCAAUUAAAGUACUCAGAAAGAAAUCUAAUUCAAAAUAAUGAUCUCCAUAAGUUUACCAUAAUAGAGGCACAAAUCGGAAAACACCGCAUCGUCAUACUUUUUUUUUUUUUACUGUCAAUAGGCCUAUUUAGAAUUGUCUGUUCGUUUCACUGGAUUCGAUCAUAUGAUUGACCCACUUCAUGAAUUUAUCUAUUUCUUAACUAUUUCCUGGUUUGUAAAAUUGAAGUUGAUUUAUUUAUUUUCCGCCACAUUUUCCAAUGUUUAAAACUUCCUUCUCCUCUUUAGAAUAAAGUACAUUCAUAGAUUUGCAGUUCAAUGUAGGAUUCUAGCACUGUAUUCCACGCAACAAUCUGGUUGGGUUUUCUUCGCAUAUAAACACAUAACUUUACCCAACGUGCUUCCACUGUCAGGCUAGCUGUCUGUCUUAGAGAAUAAUACUUUAACUAUCAGCCACCUGAAUCCCAUUCUUCGUUUUUCGGUUUUGAGGAAAACUGAAAAGAACAUUUUUGAAUUAAGCAUGAUGCUUAUCACAAAGAAUGAAUUGAUGACCCUUGAUUAUUUUAUUGAUGAGUCAAGAUAACAGGCAUCUCAUAAACCCUGUAGAUAAUACAGAAAUCAGAGUAUGGUAAAACGGAUCCUUAUACAUCCAGAUAGGAGGAGUAACAUCCUCCGAUGAUCGGUGACACUCACCCUAAGUAUUGAUCAGGCAAACGAAGCAAUCCGUAGUCAAAAUUAGUAUGUAAAGAACGGCUUAACAAUUGGUAUAAAACAUGUCAGACAGCAUUUGACCCAAUAUCCGAUUGUAUGAAUAGUGACUAUUCUGAUUAAGUCAUAUAAAGAAUACAAAAUCGAUAAUAAGACAAACUCAGGCCCCUGGGAAACAAGUAUCUAGAAGGGGUAAACAUCCCGUAUUUUGAUUUUAUCUAAAUUGCCAAUACCUUUGAAAAGCACAUGGGGUUGUAUACAGAUUUAAUUUGCGGUAGAUAAUGAACGUUGCUAAUAGGGAAAUGUGCUUGUAAUUUGCAUCCGAUGUUGGGUUUUUUUCUCUCGUAAAAACGUCCGUAUUUGCCAAUUGCUGUAUUUUUUCACCAGGGAAAAUGAGAGUGUUGAACAUUGUCGUUUUGUUUCUUAGACAUUUCCAAUAUCUUGUUUUCUGUGAUAGAGAGUACAAAAGGUGGAUGGUGUUUAUCUUACAUUAAUCUUUUCUAGAUAUUGAUAAUUUAAAACAAAAACGUAUUUAAAAUGUUCAGAAUUUGAUUCUAUUGAAUCCGUUUGAUUUAGCACAUCCUGUUAUAAGCAUUACAGGCUUGAUAGUGUGUGUUAGAAACGGAUAGCCAAAUUGUAGGUUGCCCAUUGAUUUCUUCCUGUUAUUCAGAAAAUAAGAAUUCUAUGAAUCAUAUUUUUGUAGGCCGGAUGGUAUCCCUUGUUGCUACAAUGAAUACUUGGACGAAAUCAGCAAGCAAUGCAAAGGUCUUACACGGCUAUUACUUCAUGGUUAUUCAUAAAUUCAUAUUGAUCCAUAUAAAUAUAUUGACCAAUUUUUUUUUUUCUCAUUCGUUUUUAACACAACAUAGAGAACAUAUCAAACAAGCAUUCAAAAACAAUAUUCACGUAUGUACAAGUAAUUCAUAUCAAUAGAUAUCACAAUAUUGAUAAUGAAUAAAUACAAUAAUAGACUAUAUACAUUUAACCAGGAGGAUUUAAUCUCUCAGCAAUUAAUUGUAUAUAUUUACACAAUCUUAAAUUUUUUUUUUCAUUUUUGGUUACAAAUAGAUUAUGAAAUUUUAUCACAUUAGGUCUAGUAUGAAAUAUCUCUGGUACAUAAUGUCGCCUAAUAUUAUUUAAAACAAGACACAUAAGAAUAUAAAUGCAUCUUAUAUCCAAUAUCAGAACUGCAAAUAUUACUUUUUUUUUAUCUAUAUCUAGCCACCUUCCCGUUUCUAUGGGUAAUUUAUGAUUUGUGGUUCUAAACCUGGUUAAUAUACGUUGUUUAUGUAUUGAAAUAUUUGACAAUAUAUAUUCUUGACAUUUAAAAGUAAGAUUUGUAAAAUUCUGUAUAUUAUACCUUCAGAAGAUUCGUUAUAUUGAGAUACCUUUCGAUCUUUGUUUAAGAUGACAGAUAAUCCAGUUAGUAUUCAUUUUGACAGCAUUAUACAAAGCAUUAGACAUUCCACAGUCAUCUGAUAUUUUCUUUAAAUUCAAAAUCCAUUUUGGUUCACACCCCUUGUGAAAUUUAUGAACACGAGAUUUAUAUCACAAAUAACAAUAUUUUCAUUUUUCCCAUGCAUCACCCGACAACAAAAACUAACAAUUCCUGAUUUGAUAUGUAAACAUAAUGGUGGUCGACCUAUAUCACGAUAAAUCAUAUAAUUUGGAGUUGAUGACUUGACAUGUAAUAAUAAUUUACAAAAUUUUAAGAGUAUAUUUUCAAUAAUGUCAUUGCUUCCAAAACCCCGUUCACAUCCAUAUAGAAGGAUAAGAACAACAAUUUUAUCAAAUACACUGUAAGUGUACAUGAUCUUCUAUUGAAAGAUUAAGAUCACGACCUCUGAUUAUAAUAUCAUAUAGUGAUUGAUCAUGAUAUCUGCUUUUUUGUUAUGACGUAAGCAUGCGAGCCUGGUUUGAUUGGCUGGAAGUGUGAAGAACCGUGCAAGAAAGGAUAUUAUGGAGUGUUGUGCCGCUUGCCCUGUUUAUGUAGUCCCAAUAACUGCGACCCAGAAGUUGGAUGACCAACAACAACGAAUGAACACACAACACCGAGUAUUCAAUUCAACUGGAGAAUGUCAAAAGGGUUUGCUGACACUGUCAAAUAUUCGGCCCCAACCCUCUCCAUUGAAAUAAAUGGAGAACUUACAGCGGAACAGGAACUUACAACGGGAUAUGCAGGAACAAGAACUCAAAAGUUGCAUCAAGGUUCUCGGAAGUACUCAACCAUUCACAAAGAGAUGUUAACAAACAACGAACAAAAGACCACCAGCACAGUCGUGCAAUGGCAUAGUCAAAGGUCUGAAUCUGAUACAUUUGGAUUUAUCAAAAUUACUAGAAAGCAACGUUAAACAGCAAACCCAACAAGCACGUAUGUCAUUAGACAGAGCGACAGCAGAGACAUUUUGCAGCAUAUUUCAGAAUACAUGGAGUUAAUCAGCAUCUCUUUGUUUCUGAUUGUAGGCAGUGUCGUCACUCUUAUUCUACUACUGUUAUAUACCUGAAGCAGUUCAACACAGGCCAGAUGUAUUGUCGACAACUGCGUGGGACGCUGGAGCGUGGGUACAUGUCAUUGUCCAGCAGGGAACGUCUGCCAAGAAGUGGAAGACAGUCUGACUAUGUGACGCAAAACAGCCUCGACAUUGACGUCCCCAGUACCAUAUAAACAAAGACGGUGACGUAAAGUGAUGACAUAAUUCUAAACAUCGAUUGCUUUAUAAAUAUUGCUUUAACAAGGAUGUUGGAGUCAUGUGAUGCAAAAUAUCGCGAAUGAAGUUUUCUUUAUAAAUAUCGGGUAAGGAAACGUGGUGUCAAAUACAAUUUAUAUCAACCCUUUAUUAGGAAUCACAUGAUAUGCCACGUGUAUAAUAUUGAUACCGUGGCCUGUACAAAAUAUCACAUGACAUCCAUCAAAUAUCAUAUAAUUAAAAUUACAUGACACGUAUAUACAUGUAAUAUUGACAUUGUGGCAUAUACAAAAUAUUACAUGACAUCCAUGUUUGAAGGUUUUACAAAUGUAUAAACAUAAGUCAAAUGAGUAAUUUAAUAUCAAAUAUCAUAUUCCUAUGAUACUGAAACCUUUACAAAGGAUGUUAGAGCCAGAUGAUGACUUAGACUUUUUCAGAUAUCGUAUGAAUACGAAUAAUGAAAUCACGUGAUACCACAUAAAACCGAGAUUGACGCAUCCACAAUCUCCUAUAAAUAUGGAUUCUGGAAUCACGUCAUGUGACAUCGACAUUAUAGCUGAUAUUCAUUAGAAUGCAUGUUUUAAUUCAUUCUUUCAUUUGUUCAGUUUAGUUAAUUGAAGAUAUACAGGCUACUCCGGAUAUAUUGAAAUUCAGGGGACAGACCUGAAUCGUUAUUCGUAUCCAAACUUCAAUAUAACCGUUGUGGGACUAUAUGAAUUGAAUUUAUUGUACUGGGAAUAUACAGAUAGUUCAAUAUAAUAUAGUUCGAUAUAAAUUGGUAGAUAUUUUGUGAUAUAAUAAAAUAAAACUCAUUGAUGUGCU
This is a long non-coding RNA of Ostrea edulis (European flat oyster), 5010 nucleotides long. RefSeq lists it as uncharacterized. The record is from RefSeq and is a predicted model, not a curated record. The transcript is spliced from 7 exons. NCBI's taxonomy places the organism in Eukaryota, Metazoa, Mollusca, Bivalvia, Ostreida, Ostreidae.